ACAAUGACUCCCGGCAACGGAUAUCUCGGCUCUUGCAUCGAUGAAGAACGUAGCGAAAUGCGAUACUUGGUGUGAAUUGCAGAAUCCCGUGAACCAUCGAGUCUUUGAACGCAAGUUGCGCCCGAAGCCAUUAGGCCGAGGGCACGCCUGCCUGGGUGUCACAC
This 164-nucleotide ribosomal RNA is filed under the name Glycine hirticaulis. Its description in RNAcentral is "5.8S ribosomal RNA". It matches the Rfam family "5.8S ribosomal RNA". From Rfam's summary of the family: 5.8S ribosomal RNA (5.8S rRNA) is a component of the large subunit of the eukaryotic ribosome. It is transcribed by RNA polymerase I as part of the 45S precursor that also contains 18S and 28S rRNA. Lineage: Eukaryota; Viridiplantae; Streptophyta; Magnoliopsida; Fabales; Fabaceae. The record is from RNAcentral.